GCAGCAGUAAGGAAUAUUGCGCAAUGGGCGAAAGCCUGACGCAGCGACGCCGCGUGGGGGAUGAAGGUCUUCGGAUUGUAAACCCCUUUCGGGAGGGAAGAUGGAAUGGGGUAACCCAUUCGGACGGUACCUCCAGAAGCAGCCACGGCUAACUUCGUGCCAGCAGCCGCGGUAAUACGAAGGUGGCAAGCGUUAUUCGGAUUUACUGGGCGUACAGGGAGCGUAGGCGGUUCGGUAAGCCCUUUGUGAAAUCUCCAGGCUUAACCUGGAACAGUCGGAGGGGACUGCCGGGCUAGAGGACGGGAGAGGAGCGCGGAAUUCCCGGUGUAGCGGUGAAAUGCGUAGAGAUCGGGAGGAAGGCCGGUGGCGAAGGCGGCGCUCUGGAACGUUUCUGACGCUGAGGCUCGAAAGCGUGGGGAGCAAACAGGAUUAGAUAC
This 437-nucleotide ribosomal RNA is filed under the name uncultured Nitrospira sp. RNAcentral's name for it is "bacterial SSU rRNA". It matches the Rfam family "Bacterial small subunit ribosomal RNA", at positions 348 to 785 of the family's 1533-position model. Lineage: Bacteria; Pseudomonadati; Nitrospirota; Nitrospiria; Nitrospirales; Nitrospiraceae. The record is from RNAcentral.